AAAAACACCUACAGCUGUGUGCUGAACAAUCCCAUCAGCAACCAGACUCAACAUCUGGACAUCACUCACCUCUGUCACACAUGUGCAGGUACGGCAGCGCUGAUGUAUCCUUUUAUUUACCUGAUUGUAUUUUGUUGUAGAUCACAUUGAUGCAUUCCCUUCUCUAUUUAUCAUUACAGAGUCUUCUUUACACUCUUCAGUCACUGCUGCUGUUGGAUCUCUGUUGAUUGUUGCUGCAGUCUUUGGGAUUUUCUGCAUCAGCAAGAUAUGUAGAAAAAUUUAUCAAGAACACACAGUUCAGACUCGUGCAGAAGAGAUCACUUACGCUGAACCAGCUUUCCACAAGAGAAAAGCACAGAACUCGAAUAUUAAAGAGGAGGAUCAGGUGGAGGAUCGGGUGGAGGAUCAAGUGGAGUAUGCACCGGUUGCCAUGAGAAGAUGAUCAAUC
This is a long non-coding RNA of Megalobrama amblycephala (Wuchang bream), 448 nucleotides long. RefSeq lists it as uncharacterized. The transcript has 3 exons. NCBI's taxonomy places the organism in Eukaryota, Metazoa, Chordata, Actinopteri, Cypriniformes, Xenocyprididae. The record is from RefSeq and is a predicted model, not a curated record.